Long non-coding RNA from Zootermopsis nevadensis, 249 nucleotides. RefSeq lists it as uncharacterized. NCBI's taxonomy places the organism in Eukaryota, Metazoa, Arthropoda, Insecta, Blattodea, Termopsidae. The record is from RefSeq and is a predicted model, not a curated record.
AUGAAUAGAAUGUGAGGUUUCACUGCCGUGAGUCAAGUGUGUAGUUGCGGCGUGUAGUAUGGCAGAAUUUUACCGACGUCCUUGUUGCCUUUAUAAUCAGGGCGUUUCAAAAAAAUUUCAGGUGGCAUGGUAUGACAUGCGACUGAACAAACUUGCUACAUGCAGGACAACUGAACUGUUGACUGAGAGGUCAGGAAGCUGCUUUAUGCCACCUCAGUUACUAAGCAAAAAUAAAGAGGCAUUACUUCA